CCUUUCUAGGGAGUCUCUCCCAAUCCUAAAUUGGGGUGGCUUCUGGUUGCUCGUCAUUCAGUGUAGGUGCAUUUGUCGUACCUUGACAACUCACGCGAUGAAACCGUCUGUACCGUAUCGUUGCACUAGGCUUGUGUCCACCCGAGCCAGUGCGUCGUCGGACCGCGUUGGUCACGACGGAG
This 182-nucleotide unclassified non-coding RNA is filed under the name Chloroflexus aggregans. Its description in RNAcentral is "partial miscellaneous RNA". The record is from RNAcentral. Lineage: Bacteria; Bacillati; Chloroflexota; Chloroflexia; Chloroflexales; Chloroflexaceae.